CGGGAUGUAGCGUAGUCCGGUCAUCGCGCCACUUUUGGGAAGUGGAGGUCGCAGGUUCGAAUCCUGCUAUCCCGACCA
This 78-nucleotide transfer RNA is filed under the name Flexibacter sp. CG_4_10_14_3_um_filter_32_15. RNAcentral describes it as "tRNA-Pro". It matches the Rfam family "tRNA". From Rfam's summary of the family: Transfer RNA (tRNA) molecules are approximately 80 nucleotides in length. Their secondary structure includes four short double-helical elements and three loops (D, anti-codon, and T loops). Further hydrogen bonds mediate the characteristic L-shaped molecular structure. tRNAs have two regions of fundamental functional importance: the anti-codon, which is responsible for specific mRNA codon recognition, and the 3' end, to which the tRNAs corresponding amino acid is attached (by aminoacyl-tRNA synthetases). tRNAs cope with the degeneracy of the genetic code in two manners: having more than one tRNA (with a specific anti-codon) for a particular amino acid; and 'wobble' base-pairing, i.e. permitting non-standard base-pairing at the 3rd anti-codon position. Lineage: Bacteria; Pseudomonadati; Bacteroidota; Cytophagia; Cytophagales; Flexibacteraceae. The record is from RNAcentral. RNAcentral also lists the same sequence under 2 other names.